This 558-nucleotide ribosomal RNA is filed under the name Bacillus cereus. Its description in RNAcentral is "bacterial SSU rRNA". It matches the Rfam family "Bacterial small subunit ribosomal RNA", at positions 790 to 1371 of the family's 1533-position model. Lineage: Bacteria; Bacillati; Bacillota; Bacilli; Caryophanales; Bacillaceae. The record is from RNAcentral.
GUAGUCACGCCGUAAACGAUGAGUGCUAAGUGUUAGAGGGUUUCCGCCCUUUAGUGCUGAAGUUAACGCUUAAGCACUCCGCCUGGGGAGUACGGCCGCAGGCUGAACUCAAGGAUUGACGGGGGCCGCCCAGCGGUGGACAUUUGUUUAUUCGAAGCACGGGAGACCUUACAGGUCUUGCAUCUUUGCCAACCUAGGAUUGGGCUUCUCCCUCGGGAGAGGGUGCAGGUGGUGCAUUGUUUUGUCAGCUCGUGUCGUGAGAUUUGGGGUAAAUCCCGCCACGAGCGCCACCCCUGAUUUUUGUUGCCCUCAUUUAAUUGGGCCCUUUUAGGUGGCUGCCGGUGGCAAACCGGAGGAAGGUGGGGAAGGCGUCAAAUCCUCCUGCCCCUUAUGGCCUGGGCUACACCCCUGCUUCAAUGGGCGGUACAAAGAGCUGCAAGGACCCGAGGGGGAGCUAAUUUCAUAAAACCGUUUUCAGUUCGGGUUGUUGGCUGCAACUUGCCUACCUGAAGCCGGAAUCGCUUGUAAUCCCGGGUCCGCCUUCCGCGGGGAAUACGU